AGCGGAGGAAAAGAAACUAACAAGGAUUCCCCUAGUAACGGCGAGCGAACAGGGAAGAGCUCAAAUUUGAAAUCUGGCGUCCUCCGGGCGUCCGAGUUGUAAUCUAUAGAGACGUUUUCCGUGCCGGACCGUGUCCAAGUUCCUUGGAACAGGAUAUCAAAGAGGGUGACAAUCCCGUACUUGACACGACGACCGGUGCUCUGUGAUACGUUUUCUACGAGUCGAGUUGUUUGGGAAUGCAGCUCAAAAUGGGUGGUGAGUUCCAUCUAAAGCUAAAUAUUGGCGAGAGACCGAUAGCGAACAAGUACCGUGAGGGAAAGAUGAAAAGCACUUUGGAAAGAGAGUUAAACAGUACGUGAAAUUGUUAAAAGGGAAACGAUUGAAGUCAGUCGUGUCUGGGAGGCUCAGCCGGUUCUGCCGGUGUAUUCCUCUCAGACGGGUCAACAUCAGUUUUGUCCGACGGAUAAUGGCGGCGGGAAAGUAGCACCUCCGGGUGUGUUAUAGCCCGCUGUCGCAUACGCCGGAUGAGACUGAGGCAUGCAGCUCGCCUUUAUGGCAGGGGUUCGCCCACUUUCGAGCUUAGGAUGUUGACGUAAUGGCUUUAAACGACCCGU
RNAcentral lists this ribosomal RNA (614 nucleotides) under Bullera alba. Its description in RNAcentral is "eukaryotic LSU rRNA". It matches the Rfam family "Eukaryotic large subunit ribosomal RNA", at positions 49 to 652 of the family's 3401-position model. The record is from RNAcentral. Lineage: Eukaryota; Fungi; Basidiomycota; Tremellomycetes; Tremellales; Bulleraceae.